GCCGUGAUAGCUCAGUUGGGAGAGCGUUAGACUGUACAUCCAAAGGUCCCUGGUUCGAUCCCGGGUCGCGGCA
This is a non-coding RNA of Symsagittifera roscoffensis, 73 nucleotides long. Lineage: Eukaryota; Metazoa; Xenacoelomorpha; Acoela; Convolutidae. The record is from the annotation of a RefSeq genome assembly.